UGUAACAGAACAUCCUUUGUAAGGUAUUGAAUAUGUGAGUAUGUUUUUUUUCUUACAACUAUAGGGUAGUAGGAGUAUCUGUGUAAAAUUGUUAUGAUAUUCCGUGGUAAGGUUUAUAAUACAUUAGUAUUUCCUACUUUCUUUUCUUUGCCUUGGUUAAAGAACAAAGGUUUUACUUUUGCAGGCCUUAGAAACUUAGGAUUCUUAUAGCGUCAACUCAAGCCGGAGAAGGAAGCUGGCUCCUCUAAGCAUUGUCUCCCCAAACAUCUGAACAUGUGUGCUCCUCAGUCUUCCUCUUCCUAGCCGAUUAUGUCAGUUUGAAGCUCGACAUACAUGCUUCAUGGGGUACUUUGAAAUCAUUGACAUUUUUUAAGUCAUGGUACUGAAGUUAUGAUUAUGCUUAGCUACGUUGUUAUGAUUAUCCAUAACAACAUUGAUAUUAAAUAACAGUGUACCCAUAGUUAGUAAUGACAAUGAUCUCUGUUUAGAAAAAAAUUCCAGAUAGAGUAGUUCCUUUUGAACUGCUAGAAUUGACGCAUUAUCUGAUGUACUGUGAUAUGUAACUGGAGAUGCUAGCCAGGGGGCCAAAUUUGUUCUGAACGACUUCCUUCUGUUCUUUAAGAUAAGGAAUCUCUUGAAUGAUUGUUUUGAGCUUUUCAGCUAAUCAUUGAGAUAAAAAGAAGUAAUUUGGAAACUUUGACUGGGAGCUUACAUUUACUUCUUACAUUCCUUGUUUUAAUGUUAUAGUCUGCAAAUUGAGAAUAGCACCGCAUUGUACUAAUUGAAUACUUCAACUCUGGCAGAUCGUACUAAUUGAAUACUUCAACUCUGGCAGGUCGUAUUUAUGCUGCUUGUUCAAUGUUGUCAUGCACUUCAGUUAUUCUUAUAGGACUCGGCUGUCUUAAUAUUUCCAACAAUGAAGGAAAUGUUCUUUGGAUAUUAUGGGGGAAGGUUGUGGUUUAGUACUAGACUCAGGAAACCAAUUAAACCAAGAGGCGCUUGGAGAAACGGUGUUACAGUCUGAGCCAUGUGAGACAUGGCCAGGAUGCAUUUGCUACUUGAAGCCAGGAGACAUUGCUUUACACAAAGGACAAGGGUUCUGGUAAUGUUUAUGUAAUUGAUGAUCUGAUGAGCAUUCAGAAAUCCUACUGUUUAUGAAGGAUCCUCACUAGUCCCUGAAAGAGGCUUUAUAGCAUAAUCAAGUUCUAAAAUUUUAUUGAUGCAGGGGUGCAUUUUGUACUACAGUUUUGAUUGCUUUAGAAAAGAGUAUUUAGAUUGUUUGAUAAUAUCAUUGCAUUAGAACAAACAAAUUAUGGGAU
Molecule: long non-coding RNA, 1319 nt
Filed under: Panax ginseng (ginseng)
Lineage: Eukaryota; Viridiplantae; Streptophyta; Magnoliopsida; Apiales; Araliaceae
Description: long non-coding RNA (PGIN_LNC012388)
Source: RNAcentral